GAUGAAGAACGCAGCGAAAUGCGAUACUUGGUGUGAAUUGCAGAAUCCCGUGAACCAUCGAGUCUUUGAACGCAAGUUGCGCCCGAAGCCACUAGGCCGAGGGCACGCCUGCCUGGGCGUCACACGCCGUUGCCCCCCAUCUACUCCUUCGGGAUUGCGGGGGGGCGGAUGAUGGCCUCCCGUGCGCCUAGCCGCGCGGUUGGCAUAAAUACCAAGUCCUCGGCGACGCACGCCACGACAAUCGGUGGUUGCGAAACCUCGGUUGCCCGUCGUGUGCGUUCGUCGCGCAUCGAGGGCUCGAAAAAAUGCUCGGCUCCGGCUGGGCUUUCAACGCGACCCCAGGUCAGGCGGGGUUACCCGCUGAAUUUAAGCAUAUCAAUAAGCGGAGGA
Molecule: unclassified non-coding RNA, 390 nt
Filed under: soil metagenome
Description: partial contains 5.8S ribosomal RNA, internal transcribed spacer 2, and large subunit ribosomal RNA
Rfam family: 5.8S ribosomal RNA (bases 1-122)
Source: RNAcentral